RNAcentral lists this ribosomal RNA (475 nucleotides) under uncultured bacterium. Its description in RNAcentral is "bacterial SSU rRNA". It matches the Rfam family "Bacterial small subunit ribosomal RNA", at positions 28 to 505 of the family's 1533-position model. The record is from RNAcentral.
GACGAACGCUGGCGGCACGCUUAACACAUGCAAGUCGAACGAAGAUGUUUCACCGUAGCUUGCUACACCGAGACAUUUUAGUGGCGGACGGGUGAGUAACACGUGAGCAAUCUGCCUUUCAGGAGGGGAUACCAGUUGGAAACGACUGUUAAUACCGCAUAACAUAUCGAGAUCGCAUGAUAUUGAUAUCAAAGAUUUAUCGCUGAAAGAUGAGCUCGCGUCUGAUUAGAUAGUUGGUGAGGUAACGGCUCACCAAGUCGACGAUCAGUAGCCGGACUGAGAGGUUGGACGGCCACAUUGGGACUGAGACACGGCCCAGACUCCUACGGGAGGCAGCAGUGGGGAAUAUUGCACAAUGGGCGCAAGCCUGAUGCAGCGAUGCCGCGUGAGGGAAGAAGGUUUUAGGAUUGUAAACUGUUGUCGCAAGGGAAGAAGACAGUGACGGUACCUUGUGAGAAAGUCACGGCUAACUACG